RNAcentral lists this long non-coding RNA (1596 nucleotides) under Bemisia tabaci. Its description in RNAcentral is "lncRNA ENSSSA2NGG014057". Lineage: Eukaryota; Metazoa; Arthropoda; Insecta; Hemiptera; Aleyrodidae. The record is from RNAcentral.
CCGGAAGUACUGAGAAAGUGCGGAAAUUCCAUUAGAACAGGGUUGCCAGCGACCGGGAAAAACCGGGAAAAGUUAGGGGAAAAAAACCAACCGGGAAAAGUCAGGGAAAGUCAGGGAAUUUCGUUGUUGGUCAGGGAUUUUUCUGAUUUUUCGUGGAAUUAGGCGCGGGCGGUUCUAAAAAUUUAAAUAGUCGAAAAUAGCUCUCAUUUUCACUUUAACAGACUGCGUCAGAUCCAUACUUAAAAGUCAGGGGAAAAUAUUGGAAAGUCAGGGAAAAGUCAGGGAAUGGAAAAAAUGAUUUGGCUGGCAACCCUGUUAGAAGGUCCGGAAUUUUCCAUUUUUGUCGCAAUUUAAGAGAGAAAUUCAAUUUUUUUAAAUUUUUCGAAUUUCGUCGAAUAGAGGUACUGAAAAAGUACUGAACAUUUCCGUUGAGGAGGUACUGAAUUUCUCGGGAAUAUACUGAAAAAGUACUGUAAAAGUUCUGAUUUUUGGCCAGUCUGUUUUAGAAGACACCCUGCUGGUAGCCUUCCAGAGACUUGUUCUUUCGAAGCUUUCGGUCAUCCGAACUGCGAAGUUCAGUGUCUAUGAUUGGAAAAUUUAGCUACCUAACCAUAAAACAAAAACCUUUUUUUCUUACUUUACGUUUUCUCGGAAUCGUAUUAUCUUAGCAAGGCGUCGGAGUAAGAUGCUUUUCUGACGGAAUUAGGUAUGUUUUAUGUUACUUUAUUAUUUUAAUUUUAUUUAUUUAUUUAUUUUUUUUUUGCAGCGGGCCAGUGAAGUUGAGGGGAGAUGUUCGUGGAACAGCCUCCUUCUUUGUUGGGGACCAUGAGCUCUCUGGGCGGCUCCCAGCGGCGAACCCGCGCCUUAGCCGACAUCGUUCCAUCUUGCGCUAGUUUAAAGGGCUCACUGGAUGAGAGUCGGAGUGGCGGGAGUUUGCGAAUGACGUCAGUGACAGGGAGUUUCGAGGGUCGAUCGCGGUUCCCCAAGCUGGAGGACUGCGCCCACUUCCACUACGAACACGUCGAGCUGGGACCAAUCCAGGUAAGCCGCCUCGAGUACCCAAACGUUUCAUCCGACCAUCUUUUAAAGAAGGAAUAUGCACGUAAUCGAUAGUGGAAUCAGAAAAACACGCACAUGUGUUGUAGUAGAGUUUCGAAUAGAGACUUUUGUAGGGGACAGUCAUAAGACAAUUUUUUUUUUUUUUUUUUUUUUGCUGGUUUAGUGGCUUAUAUUCCGUUAGGACCUACAGCCAUCGAUAGACAUUAUUUAUUGUCCUUAGACAUCAUGGGAUUUAGGCACAUCCAUGCUCCAGGCUUUCAAAUUUUCAGGGAUUAAGGCCGAGUGGAAUCUGUUUCUGCAGAUCCACUCGUCAGUUCCAUGAAAAUUUGUCGCCACCACCGGGAUUCGAACCCGGGACCUAUUGACCUAGAGUCAGCGAAUUUUUGUAAAAAAGUGAUAAAAAAAACUCACUUGCGCUAAAUUAAAGCGAAGUGACGGAAGAACAAUUGGACCGCGUUUUGUAGAAAGGAACCAAGCCGUAUCGGCUGUUGCCAAAAGCGGAGCUUUUUCAUUUUUUAUUAAAGAACUUUUGUGCGG